Molecule: transfer RNA, 63 nt
Filed under: Grandidierella taihuensis
Lineage: Eukaryota; Metazoa; Arthropoda; Malacostraca; Amphipoda; Corophiidae
Description: tRNA-Gly
Source: RNAcentral
AAGACCUUAAGUUAAUAUAAACUAAAGGCUUUCCAAGCCUAAAAUAGGCACACCUAGGUCUUA